GCAUAUCAAUAAGCGGAGGAAAAGAAACCAACAGGGAUUGCCCUUAGUAACGGCGAAGUGAAGCGGCAACAGCUCAAAUUUGAAAUCUGGCUUCGGCCCGAGUUGUAAUUUGUAGAGGAUGCUUUUGGUGAGGUGCCUUCUGAGUUCCCUGGAACGGGACGCCAGAGAGGGUGAGAGCCCCGUAUAGUCGGCCACCGAUCCUCUGUAAAGCUCCUUCGACGAGUCGAGUAGUUUGGGAAUGCUGCUCAAAAUGGGAGGUAUAUCUCUUCUAAAGCUAAAUAUUGGCCAGAGACCGAUAGCGCACAAGUAGAGUGAUCGAAAGAUGAAAAGCACUUUGAAAAGAGGGUUAAAUAGCACGUGAAAUUGUUGAAAGGGAAGCGCUUGUGACCAGACUUGUGCCGGGCUGAUCAUCCAGUGUUCUCACUGGUGCACUCGACCCGGCUCAGGCCAGCGUCGGUUCUCGUAGGGGGAUAAAAGCUUCGGGAACGUGGCACCUUCGGGUGUGUUAUAGCCCGUUGCUUAAUACCCUUGUGGGGACCGAGGUUCGCGCUCUGCAAGGACGCUGGCAUAAUGGUCAUCAGCGACCCGUCUUGAAACACGGACCAAGGAGUCGAGGUUUUGCGCGAGUGUUUGGGUGUAAAACCCGCACGCGUAAUGAAAGUGAACGUAGGUGAGAGCUUCGGCGCAUCAUCGACCGAUCCUGAUGUAUUCGGAUGGAUUUGAGUAAGAGCGUAUAGCCUCGGACCCGAAAGAUGGUGAACUAUGCCUGAAUAGGGUGAAGCCAGAGGAAACUCUGGUGGAGGCUCGCAGCGGUUUCUGACGUGCAAAUCGAUUCGUCAAAUUUGGGCAUGGGGGGCGAAAGACUAAUCGAACCCAUCUAGUAGCUGGUUUACUCGCCGA
This 900-nucleotide ribosomal RNA is filed under the name Coniochaeta mutabilis. RNAcentral describes it as "LSU rRNA". It matches the Rfam family "Eukaryotic large subunit ribosomal RNA", at positions 38 to 964 of the family's 3401-position model. The record is from RNAcentral. Lineage: Eukaryota; Fungi; Ascomycota; Sordariomycetes; Coniochaetales; Coniochaetaceae.